This 363-nucleotide ribosomal RNA is filed under the name uncultured eukaryote. RNAcentral describes it as "partial 18S ribosomal RNA". It matches the Rfam family "Eukaryotic small subunit ribosomal RNA", at positions 592 to 976 of the family's 1831-position model. The record is from RNAcentral.
CAAUAGCAUAUAUUAACGUUGUUGCAGUUGAAAAGCUCGUAGUUGAACUUUUGGUAGGAGCGACCUGGCCUUGGGCGCAUGCCCUUGUUUGCCGUGUGUCGUAUCUGGCCAUCCUUUUCUUCGUUUUUCGGAGGAAUCUUUUACUGUGAGUAAACUGGAGUGCUCAAAACAAGACGUUUGUUUGGUACAUUAAAGCAUGGAAUAAUAAGAUAGGACCUGGUUACUAUUUUGUUGGCUUGCAUAGCUAGGUAAUGAUUAACAGGGACAGUUGGGGGUAUUCGUAUUUAAUUGUCAGAGGUGAAAUUCUUGGAUUUAUGAAAGACGAACGACUGCGAAAGCAUUUACCAAGGAUGUUUUCAUUAA